RNAcentral lists this transfer RNA (71 nucleotides) under Bos taurus (domestic cattle). It matches the Rfam family "tRNA". Rfam says of the family: Transfer RNA (tRNA) molecules are approximately 80 nucleotides in length. RNAcentral also lists the same sequence under 5 other names. Lineage: Eukaryota; Metazoa; Chordata; Mammalia; Artiodactyla; Bovidae. The record is from Rfam by way of RNAcentral.
UCUCUGGUGGUCUAGUGGUUAAGACUCCACAUUUUCACUGUGAGGGCCCAGGUUCAUCCUUGGUCUGGGAA